Non-coding RNA from Vicia faba (fava bean), 243 nucleotides. The record is from the annotation of a GenBank genome assembly. Lineage: Eukaryota; Viridiplantae; Streptophyta; Magnoliopsida; Fabales; Fabaceae.
AUGCAUAUCCGCAACUGCUACACAACACCGACGCAGCAUGCACCACGAAGAAGAGCAUUCAUUCGGCCAUGUUGCACAAUCUCCUCCCAUGAACAUGCACCACUCACAACUGAACCAGACGCCGUCACCAAAAGAACCGGUCAUCUCCCUCUGCUCACAUCACACGUAGUCCCUCGCCUCACCGGAAGGAGAUCGUGCAUCACAGACCGCGCCCGUCCUCCGCACUCCCAUGCGCCGCCAUGA